Rosa rugosa (rugosa rose) is the source of this 549-nucleotide long non-coding RNA. RefSeq lists it as uncharacterized. The transcript is spliced from 3 exons. NCBI's taxonomy places the organism in Eukaryota, Viridiplantae, Streptophyta, Magnoliopsida, Rosales, Rosaceae. The record is from RefSeq and is a predicted model, not a curated record.
CUAAUCCACGUGCGUUGUGGUUACUCGCCCAGAUUCAGGUUGCAGCAGUAAUCGAUGGAAUGGAUUUCUAGGGUCGUCUCCUCCGUCGUCGUCGUCGUCGUCGUGUUGCUCUUAUUCGUAUUUGGCCUUCUCUGCUGGGGCAUAUAAUAGUUGGAGAAACCAAGGAUGCUCACGCUAUGACUAGUUAGGAGAAUUUUGCUUCUUUCUCCAGAGGUGUUGCGAGUGUAGAGAAGAAGCCUGGUCAUCUUCUUGUACUUGUUUAUGGCAUAUUGGCGAGGUUCUUUGUUUGGUGAAGACUUGAUUGUGCAAACCUUUGCGAGUGUUGAAUUACAUACAACUUUUUGGAAAUUGAUACAAUUUUUGUAUCAAACAUUACAACGUUUUGGGAAUUGAUGAGGACUUGAUCAGUUCUUGUAUCAAAUCAGUUUUUGUAGCCUCAGUGGCAUAGUGCCUCAGUGCAAUUAAUCAGUGAGAAUGUGAGUUUGAGGUUUAUGUGGAAUUUGUAAUUAACUCAGGUUCUGAUAUAUCAAAGAGAUGUUUUUUUUUUUU